The sequence is a ribosomal RNA, 528 nucleotides long. The stretch from base 395 to 528 matches the Rfam family "Archaeal large subunit ribosomal RNA", at positions 2542 to 2676 of the family's 2987-position model.
ACAUUUCUUUGAGUAUUUAUAUUUAAAGUAUUUUCUGCCCUAUGAUUAUAAUUAAAUGGCCGCAGUAUUUUGACUGUGCAAAGGUAGCAUAAUAAUUAGUUUCUUAAUUGGUAACCAGUAUGAAUGAAUUAAUGAAAAAUUAGUUUUAUUAGUAAUACAAUUAUAAUUUAAUCUUUUAGUUAAAAAGCUAAGGUUUGUAGUUGGGACGAUAAGACCCUAUAGAACUUUUAUAUUAUUAUUUAAACAAAAUUUUAGUUAAUUGUAAUUAUAUUAAUUGCUUGAAUUUUAUAUUUUUACUGGGGUGGUGAAUAAAUUAUGACUUUAUUUUGAAAAUUUAUUUAUUAAUAUUUUUAUUGAUCCAAUUGUUUUGAUUAAAAGAUUAAGUUACCUUAGGGAUAACAGCGUAAUUUUAGUGGGAAGUUCAUAUUUAUACUAAAGUUUGCGACCUCGAUGUUGAAUUAAGAUUAAGUUAAGGGGUAGUUUUUUUAAAUUUAAGUCUGUUCGACUUUUAAAUUCUUACAUGAUCUG